UCUUUGCUUAUAUUCGGUCCUUCUUAUGGCU
This 31-nucleotide non-coding RNA is filed under the name Mus musculus (house mouse). The record is from RNAcentral. Lineage: Eukaryota; Metazoa; Chordata; Mammalia; Rodentia; Muridae.